Molecule: transfer RNA, 72 nt
Filed under: Lagerstroemia floribunda
Lineage: Eukaryota; Viridiplantae; Streptophyta; Magnoliopsida; Myrtales; Lythraceae
Description: tRNA-Gln
Rfam family: tRNA
About the family: Transfer RNA (tRNA) molecules are approximately 80 nucleotides in length. Their secondary structure includes four short double-helical elements and three loops (D, anti-codon, and T loops).
Source: RNAcentral
UGGGGCGUGGCCAAGUGGUAAGGCAACGGGUUUUGGUCCCGGCAUUCAAAGGUUCGAAUCCUUCCGUCCCAG